UCUGCUGACUGUGGGUGCAAUCCAAAGGCAGCUUGGUCUUAGCCUCUCAUUGUUCAUUUGGACCAUUCAGCAAGGGAGGCAUUUUCCCUUUCCCCUGGGGACUGGGGGGGGAGGGGGAGGGGAAGCCCGGCCCACCCCACGCCUCUUCCAGUUAGACUCAGGUUUGGUCACUUUAUGUCACAAAAUCUACCUUCGAUUUAGAGGUUUAAGGCAUCCAGUCAUAGAUAUGAAAUGCCACUCCUGUUCCUUCAAAGAUAAAUCUUCUUCCUCCUGCCCUUCCUAGGUCUGUGGUUGGGGUGUGGGCCUUCGGGGAUUGGGCUGUGGUAAGCCCCUAGGAAUCCAGGAUCCCCUGCCAACUUCUUCCUGCUGAGCUCCCUUUGCCCCUCCAGGAGGCGCUACAGGACAUAACCCUAUUUUGGACCUCUCUGCUCCGGGGACUGCCUCUGGUCCAUAGGAGGCACUCACAUGGCUCCUGCCCCAAUCCCAGUGCACAGGUGUGGGGGCCCACAGCUCUAAAUGGCUUCACAGACGCCCAUAUCACAAGGCUUGAGAUGGAGGUGGCAGGGCCUCCAGCCCUACUGGAGGUGGAGCUCAGAGCAUAGCUUUACUCUCUCAGAAGUGUUUUCUCUUUCCAAACCCUCCUGUCCUCCACACUCUGACCCUUUCUAUAUGCUUGAUAGGUUGAAGGGCCCAACUGCUGUGCAACUGGUUCUUUCUUCAUUGCUUCCUUUGUAAAUACUGCCUAUGAGGCCUCCCACCUACUGAUAUUCACACCAUGGUGGCAUGUCCUCCUACCCUGAACAGGGCUCAUCCUUGUAAAAUAAACACUUGCUAUUGCAGAAAAGAUAGUCUGCAACUUCUGAGGCUAGGUCACGGCCGUGGGUUCCAAUGUGUACCGCAAGAAGAUAUGUCGAAGUUCCAGCCCCCAGUAUUUGUGAAUGUGACCUUAUUUGGGAAUAAAGUCUGUGCAGAUGUAAUCAAAGGUCAUAUUGAAUUAGGAUAGGUCCUAAAUCCAAUGACUGGUGUCCUUUAUACGGAGAGAGGGACGCAGAACAGACGCACACAGAGAAGGUGAAGACGGACGCAGAGUUUGGAGUUAGGCUGCCACAAACCAAGGAACAUCUGCGGCCACCAGAAACUGGGACCGGCCAGGAAGCUUUCUCCCCUACACCCUAUGGAGAGGGUGUGGCCCUGCUCACACCUUGAUUUCAACUUCUGGCCUCCAGGACAGUGACAGAGUAAAUAUCUGUUCUUUUAAGCCACCCUGUUUGUGGUACUUUGUUAUGGCUGCCCUAAGAAGCUAAUCUAGUUAUAAGAGACAUUGUAAAGUCCCCUCGCUCUCUCUUGACUCAUAUCCUGGAGAAAGCUGGCUGCCAUGUCAUGAGGCUACCCAAGCAGGUCUAAGGAGAGGUCCACAAGGCAAGGAACAGAGCGGGGCCUCCUGUCAACAGCUUGUCACCGUGUGAAUGAGCAGAUCCCACAGCCCCAGUCGAGCCGUCAGAUGACUGGGGCCCUCGUUGGCAUUUGACUGCCACCUCCUGAGAAAUCAUGAGCCAGAGCACCUGGUUAAGCCAUUGCCCAGUUCCUGACCCACAGAAACUGUGAGACAAUAAAUGUUUAUUAUUGUUCUAAGCUAUUAAGUAUGAAAGUAAUGCGUUGUGUGGCAACAGAUUACUAAUACCGAUAUCGGUGAUAUUGGGGGCUCAGUAUAACCCGAAGCAGGAGGAGUUGCAUUUUGUAAUUCUCACAUGGCUCUUAGAAUGGUCAGGGGCCCCAGUGCCUUUCUCUCUGGGGACAUUUCCAGCAGUGCGCUUCACAGCCAUUGUAGUGAGGUGUCUUACUCAUUCACCCAGCCAUGAGCACCUUCCACCUGCCAGGUGCUAUUCAUGGCUGGUGGCCAUUAUGGCUGUUCCUCAGCUAGUGACAGAUAUGAACAAGAAGGGCGACACUCAUUUGCAGAGGCAGGAGGAGGAGGGGCCGUAGAGACACCGAGAAGAGGAGCCUUCAUCUGUGUGAUCGUGCAGAGAUGGGAAGAGAACCAAGUUCAAGGGUCCACAUGAACCAAGCUCAAGGGUGGUGAAGCUAGAACUAGGAUCUUGUGUCUGCUUUGCCACCCUGACCAAGUCACACUUGCAGAUCCUUUGAACAGCCAAGGACACAUCAGCAGCUCCUUCUGAACCAGCACAAGCCGGAGGGUGAGAAGGUUGGCCCUCCCUCCAUCGGAGUCCCAGCCCUUCUUAGCGGUGGUGCUUUUUAAAGAGGCUGGAUCAGAAUUUGUCACUCCCAAAGACUCUUCUAUCAGGUCAAUAUUUGAAAUGGGGCAACUUUAAGUGAACCAGGUAUAUCAAUGGAGACGGACGGACAUUUGAGGCCGGAAGGUUGUUUCCUGUUUUUUGGAGGUUUUCUUUUCCAGCUUUAAGACGGCUCCCCGUGUCAGGUGAUGAGUGUGAUUAACUGCAAUGAGCUCCUGGCGACAUA
Molecule: long non-coding RNA, 2478 nt
Organism: Myotis lucifugus (little brown bat)
Lineage: Eukaryota; Metazoa; Chordata; Mammalia; Chiroptera; Vespertilionidae
Exons: 3
Source: RefSeq, a predicted model, not a curated record